AUGGCGGAUGCAGGAGCAUUCUUUGAUAUAAAAGAUUGUCUUUGCAAUCAGUUUCCAUUUUUGCCUGCUAAAGACUGCAAUUUUAGGUUUUACGGUGCUAAAGUUUCUAUCUUGCAUAACGGAUUAAGUCCAAAGAAUUUCAGUUAAGCACCAGAUUGAAAAUUUUCAAUUCCUUAUUCAGGUCAGUGAAAUAGUCAUUCAGUAAAAUUAGUUUUCCUUUUUGUUCAGUUCUCCUGCAUAUAAUCUUGCAACGAAACAAACUACCCCAUAUCUCUCGUGAACGCCAUUAACAAGUGAAUGUAAAGUCAUAAAUUGAGGCCGCGAAUUAAUAAGACAAUUGCAAAACAUGUCGAUAUUGAGUGUUUCCCUAAAACUCUGUCUUAAAUCAUCUUGUUGUAGAAUUCAACAUGUCGCUGGUUGGAGGUACCUUCGUUGUGCAUAUUUUCCUCGGGCAAGUUUUUUUGUGCUCAGUUCUCGACCUCUGUUUAGUCGCAUUCGGUGAGCUGCUGAUCGACCGAACAAAUAUAAACUUAAACACUACUCAAGUAUUUACGUACAACCAUGUAUAUGUAUAGAUGCUAAUUUCUUUUCGAAUGUGAAUUGCAAAAUAUUUCGCUUCCUUCUUGUUAUGUAUGACCGUGAAACCCGCUUGGGUCGCUAUUGUUUGUGCUGGCGUUUAAGCGUGUGGGAAAGUUUACCGGUGAGGUAAAACCCCAUCGAGAUUUUGCUUUUGGAGUGUGGCUUUAGGGUUUGAACUCAGACAAUGAAGGGCUUUCGAUGAAAGCGAGAAUCUUGGGCGAGAUUUGGCGCAGUCGAACGAUCAUCAACGCCGGAUCAAGGUUAUGGUUGCAUCUCAAAUCCUGCCGCACAAAGGAAUUACCAGUUCUCGUCCUUUAACCCAGACUUUUAACUUGGGUUUAGGGAAGGAGGUUCACAGACUGUAUGCACGAUGACCUCGUUACUUUCAGCUUAGUUUCGAAGGGGGCGUCUCCCAUUUGCUGGGUCCGAAAUGAAAGGAGAUAAGCCAAGAUUUUAUUUCCUUAAAAAAAAAAUAUAUAAAAAAAGACGAAAGUUUUCGAAUUCGGCAUUGAUAUCCGUUUCAGAUGUGAUCAUCAGAUAUAAUUCUUGUUUCCUUUUGAUUUUACUUGCGUCUGUAAUGUUUGUCUACUCUAAAAAACGAUUUUUUCAAGUUUUCUUCAUACUCAAGUGAUAUUUCCUCGGAGGCCUUUCGUUGAUUAUCUCCUCUGAGGUGUUAGAAGAUUAUCUUAAGGUUUCAUGUUAUUCAAAAGAGAUUCUCCUGGAGGUAAAAAUGGUUCUAAAUAUCGUGACGGCGAUCCGUUUUGAAAUUGGCCAUUCUUAAAUUUUUUUGGUUCCUCUAUGGCUGGCAAAAGGUUGAUUCAGGAUGGCGCGUCAUUCAGUCAGAGACGACUCUCUCAGAUUCUGGAAAUGGUUCGAAAUGUCGUGUGGCUGUAACAUUGGGCCGCAACAGCUCAUUUUGGUCUAUAAUCACAAUUAAAUCAUUCCAAACCCUU
This is a long non-coding RNA of Pocillopora damicornis (cauliflower coral), 1532 nucleotides long. RefSeq lists it as uncharacterized. Lineage: Eukaryota; Metazoa; Cnidaria; Anthozoa; Scleractinia; Pocilloporidae. The record is from RefSeq and is a predicted model, not a curated record.